GAAUAAAAUAAUUAUUCUGGUAGAAGUAUACCAGUGGAGUUUAUCUGUGAGCAACAGUGUAAGUAUUUGUAGUUGGUAUGUAUACAGUAAUUCCGAAAUAAAAGUUUAAACUUAAAAUAAAGUCAAUAAGUGAUAAUAUUACAUCAAUAUAAUCUUCGUUUGAAUCAUAUUGGAGGGCAACAAUUACUGCAUAACCGACACAUUUUCUGAAUUCUGGAACUUUACAAUCACUGCCCAUCAAUAUGUCAUUUCUUCGUAACAUUUUAGUUGUUAUUAUGGCAGCGACCAUAUUUUUUGAUGCAGCAGAUGCUGGACAAUUGCUACAUUAUCGAUUUUCUAACGAAAUUUCUGACAAUACUGAUGACUUACGGAACGACACUCUAUCAAAUCUAUAUUUGACGAGAGAGGCUCCAAGAAACCAAAGAUUCACCAGUAAUGGAAAGGAUAUUGUGACUUCUGACGAUAGCAUAAUUCCACCUCGCCUCCGCGGAAGCUGUGUCGGCAAGCCUGGCGAGGGAAAAGAUUGCGUUGACAUAUACCUGAGAAUUUUACGUGCCGUUGAGAUGCCUACUGUUUCCGACAGUAAUCUGAUUAAGGGUCUUCAAAACGAA
Molecule: long non-coding RNA, 611 nt
Organism: Bradysia coprophila
Lineage: Eukaryota; Metazoa; Arthropoda; Insecta; Diptera; Sciaridae
Source: RefSeq, a predicted model, not a curated record